UUAUAUAGUAAAUUAAAAAAUAGUGUAUAUGGGUGCACUCAGAGUUUUGAUCUCUAAAGUAUAGGUCCGAGUCCUAUUUUUUUAAGGAA
Molecule: transfer RNA, 89 nt
Filed under: Bolitoglossa nympha
Lineage: Eukaryota; Metazoa; Chordata; Amphibia; Caudata; Plethodontidae
Description: tRNA-Gln
Rfam family: tRNA (bases 14-85)
About the family: Transfer RNA (tRNA) molecules are approximately 80 nucleotides in length. Their secondary structure includes four short double-helical elements and three loops (D, anti-codon, and T loops).
Source: RNAcentral